UCUUGGUCAUUUAGAGGAAGUAAAAGUCGUAACAAGGUUUCCGUAGGUGAACCUGCGGAAGGAUCAUUACAAAAUCCGGUUUGGGUUGGUGGUGGGGGUUAGAUUGUGGGUAGAAGGGAAUUUUCUCUUCUACUACUCUACUUACUACCCGCCCCCCCCUCAUCAUUUGCGCUUGUAUUGUUUGACAGAGUAAUUUUCUUUACAUAAAUGACAACUUUUAACAAUGGAUCUCUGGGCUCUUGCAACGAUGAAGAACGCAGCAAAAUGCGAUACGUAGUGCGAUUUGCAUUAUUUGCGAGUCAUCAAAUCUUUGAACGCAACUUGCGCCUGUUUCGUACAGGCAUGUCUAUUUGAGUACCGUAACCAAAGAAUCAGUUGCUCUGAAGAGCUAAAGAUGGCAUGUAUAUUGUGAGUUUGAAGCUAGAGACCAUCGGUCUUGUUCAUUCUCUCCAUUUUAUACCGGUCUCAAAUUAGGCAAGAUUACCCGCUGAACUAAGCAUAUCAUAAGCGGAGGAA
This 516-nucleotide ribosomal RNA is filed under the name uncultured fungus. RNAcentral's name for it is "eukaryotic LSU rRNA". The stretch from base 213 to 360 matches the Rfam family "5.8S ribosomal RNA". The record is from RNAcentral. Lineage: Eukaryota; Fungi.